UACGGGGGGGGCAAGCGUUGUUCGGAAUUACUGGGCGUACAGGGCGCGUAGGCGGGUGGACAAGUCUCUCGUGAAAGCCCACGGCUCAACCGUGGAAUUGCGGGAGAUACUGUCUGUCUUGAGUCCGGGAGAGGAGGGUGGAAGUCCCAGUGUAGCGGUGACAUGCGUAGAUAUUGGGCGGAUCACCGGUGGCGAAGGCGUCUCUCUGGACCGGUACUGACGCUGAGGCGCGAAAGCUAGGGGAGCAAACGGG
Molecule: ribosomal RNA, 253 nt
Filed under: uncultured bacterium
Lineage: Bacteria
Description: partial 16S ribosomal RNA
Rfam family: Bacterial small subunit ribosomal RNA
Source: RNAcentral